UCAAGCUUUUGGAAGGAGGCACAUCCUUGAGCAGAGUGGCCCUCUUCAUACGAAUCCAUCUCAAAGGAGACCGACAGCUGCCAUGUCUUAGCAUCCCACUGGGGCCACGCAACCCUGCCAAGAAAGAACCAGAAGUGUGAAGAGCAGCAUGGGCGUUUCAGCCUCACCACACCUUUGUUUUGCCUAUAUUCGGGGUCUGAAGCCACACAAGUGACCCUGGAGAAGGAUUCUUCCCCAACUGAACCUUGAGAUGAAAGCGGCCCGGGGGCAACCCUACUACUGCCUUGAGAGAAGAUCCAGACAGAUGCAACUUGACCCACAGAAA
Molecule: long non-coding RNA, 325 nt
Organism: Talpa occidentalis (Iberian mole)
Lineage: Eukaryota; Metazoa; Chordata; Mammalia; Eulipotyphla; Talpidae
Exons: 3
Source: RefSeq, a predicted model, not a curated record